CCUCUCUCCAUCUGACUGAGUGAUCAGCACGCCUUAAGGCUUCCAGGCUUCCUGUUCAGCUCAGCUUGUAUGGGGGGUUGUGCUAGGCCACCAGGAUUCUCCAGAGGGCUGGUUGCCUUUUGAACUUGAGCAUCUGGCUCUGGGGUGAAUACAAUGAAUAUUCCCAUAUGAACUGGAAAUGCCUGCCUGGGUCUCUGCUCUUUGAAAGAAACAAGCGGUCCCACAGACUGACUUGAGGAUUUUCUGUCAACGUCAACCCAAGUCAUCACUCUCUGAAACCUCCCACCAGCUCUGCUCGCCCACAGCCCCACCAGUUGCCAGCAUGUCAGGUGGUUCCGGAAGUUCCCCAUACCCAGCAGGAAAGGACAAAAUGGGUGCCCAGGUGCAAGCCUGACUAGUCAUUGGGGUGAGUUCUAGGGAGAGGAGAGUUGGGCUGACACAUACUCAUUUUACUGUGGAUGCUUCUGUAUGUGGGAAUGUUUUAAAAGCAUGUAUUCCUCCUGUAAUUAAAGUUCCAUCCCUUAGGCCUUGUUCAGAGGGCAGAGGGUGACAAGGGACACUUGAUAGGGAAGACAGCACGGGAGCUAGACCUGGUCAGGAAGGCGGCAGUGACAAGAGGACAUCUGGACCAGCAAAAGGGCAGGUACCCUUCAGCUCAGUAUCUCCAUGCCUGGGGCACCGCUUAUCAUACAGUGGGUGCUCAGUACAUGCUCAGCAGAUGAAUGAAGAUGAUGAGAAAGUACCCAUUGAAGCCCAGGCUUGGUUGCAGAAAGCUAAGAGACCCCAGCACAUUUCUCACACAGCGUAAGUUAAAUUGGUGCCUCCAAAUAGACUCUGGCCUGUAAGCUGAGAUGUUACCAAGGGAAGCAAACGACAACUUUUUCAGCAGAACAGUGGCCAUCAGGAAGCUGCUCUGCGGCCAGCGUUGCCCCUGGAGACAGAGGGCACGAGCAGGAACUGUCUUCUGUGAGACCCACAGGCCCUCUGAAGGUCACCUCCCCAGCCUGGGGCUGGCCUCUUGCUCAGCCCUGGCCCGGGCUCUGGCUGAGGCCUCUAGGAGGGGCAGGCUCAGGCUCUUGGUGUUUUCCAAAGAGUGCCGCUGCCCUUCGCAGGCUUGCUGUGGAGCAGAACCUCUCUGUCCUCACAUCCUGUCCAAAUGCACGCAGGUGAGGAGGCAACUGGCUAGCAACUCUGUUCAGCAAGCUUCCAGAGUGGGUGUCUGAAAGGCUGGUGGCGCAAGAGCAUUUGUAUUUCAAGUGGCUGCUGCCCAUGAAUCACCAGCUUCGUUCUCUGCUCUCAGCUAUGCAAAGGCAUCAUUUCCACCCAGCCUCAUGUGGAGCUGGCGGCCAGAGCCUCUCAGCGUGGCUAUAAAUAGCAGAUCAUCAACUCACCUCUUCUGAGCUCAUCACAGGCUCCUCAAUUUACUGUGUGUGUGCAUCUUCCUGCUGCCUGCACGUCACAGUCCCUCAGGUUUCCCAGGUGAGGCCUGGCUGGGAGUCCCAUGCCGGGGGAGGCUGUUGGGGGGACAAGGCAGGGUUUCGGUUCCCGGAACUGUUCAGGGUGACGGAGAGGGCAAUGGCAGACUUUUGAAGAGCUCGACAUUUAAGGUGUCAUAAUUAUGAUCUCGGUUCUCUGAGCUCCUCUCCUAUUAAAUGCAACAGCAAGGGACUGUCAGUUCUCUAGUCCUAGAAAUAAAAGGCAAAGGACUGACCAAGCACACACCCAGAGAACGCCACCCAGAGUGGGUAGUAACAAAUGAAAGGUUUCAUGCCUUUCUGUGGACUUGUCUCCUAAAACCAAGUGAAAUACUUCAUGGCUCUCUGGCUUCAGAAGUGAGAUUAACUGAAUGAAAUACUUUAUGGCUCCCUGACUUCAGCUGUGAGAUUGGGUUUUUUAGUAUUACUCAUAGCUACCAUUUAUGGAGUGCUCCCUGUGUCCAGGAUCUGUGCCAAGUCUUCCCAUGAAGAAUCUCAUCAAGUCACCGCAGCAGCCAUAUUGAGUUGACAGCUAACAUCGUUGGCUUUCUAUAGGCGAGGAGGCUGUGGGUCCCAGCGUCACAGGGACAGCGCUGCUGCCCAGUCUCUGAACCACCACACUUUCUGCCUCCUGCAGAAGAGGACAGUUUGUGUGUCCACAUAUAUCCAUUUGCAUGUGUGACUGGAGAGAGAUGGACUAUAAGACUCCUUUUCCCAGCCCCACAGCUCCACGACUGUAAGAGCCAGAUGCUCCCAUCCCAGGCUCCACUGGCACCCUGAGUGUCCCAUCACCAUCUUCUCCCAAAGCUGAUCUUUUUCUAGGUUCUCCUAUAAGGAGGGCACCCACCUGGGCUUUCUAGGCCCAACUUGAUGGCCUUUCUUUUGUCUCCCUCCACCUGGGCCCUGAAGCAGGCAGGGGUAGGGUGAAGCUCCUUCUUUCUCCCUCAUCCCCUCACCCCUGGGGGCAGCCUCCCUCCAAUCCAUUUCCUCCUCUGCCUCCCAGGGUCAUAGCCCCAUGUUUGGGGUCUGGUCCCCUUUAUUGGUUUGUCACAACAGCCCUCCGGCUCAGGGCUGCACCGGGGAAUGUUUAAGAGCACAGAUCUUGGUUCCCUCCCCAGAGCACCUGAAAUAAAAUCUUUCAGGGUACAGGCCAGAGGCUGGAUUUUUAAAAAGCUGUCCCAGUGAUCGAUGCAACCGGGGCUAAGGACCACUUAGUCUAUCUGGCCACCUAUAUUCCAGCCUCUCCCUGCUCUGAACCCUCCUACCCACAGCGAUCUGCUUUUAAUUUUCUUAAAGUGCAGUUUGUCUCUUUAUCUCCUAUUACUCUCCCGCUCAAAAUCCUCGAGCCACUCCCUACCGCCUGCAGGAAAGGGCGAAGUCCCUAGUGUGCGAGGCAGUUUCCAUCCUGGUUCGCUCAUUCUCCCGCUAGAGCCACUUUUCCCUGGGACAGCCUCCUGACCCUGCUUCCUCUCUUCAGCGUGUCUGGACUUUAGACAUCAGCUGGGCACAGGAGGGCACCCUGAAACAGCCGCAGUCCUUAGCUGAGACUCUGAGUCCUUCCAUAAGAGAAAUGAGGAAUUAUUGCUGAAAUGCCCCUCUUACUUCAAGAGCCACAUGUGCAGCUUUAAACGAAGAGGGUUUUGUGUGGCCUGAGGAUGAAAGGAGAUCUGCCAGCAGAUACGACAAAAUAGCAGUAAUGUGUAAACACAGGGUAGCAGGAGAGGUGGGGCUCAUGAUUAAUUCAAAGGAGAUGGCAUUUUGGCAUUCUCCUUGCUUUUAUUCAAGCCCAGAGGACAGAGCAGGUCUGGUAAGCACUGGAGCAAAGGCUGUGUUUCAAAAUAUGUCUCAGGCUUUUUGUCCUCCAUUCUUAGACUAAAGCAGAGAAACACGUUUGAAUCUUGCUCAAAAGGUCAAGGGUAUUUUGCUAAUAUGACUAAACAUUGUGUGUGUUUAGACUUUGUUUUAUUUCCCAGAAAGAAACACCUACCCCAAAAUAAAAUAAAAAGUGAUUGUGCUGACUGACAGCAGGAGUCAUUUCAGAAUGGAGCCUGGAAAUUGCUCCCCUCAACUGCUUCAGAGUGAAAAUGGACCCUAAAAAACUUCUGGUUACAUGUGCAGCAGAGCCUCUUAGGGGUCUCCAUCUGCUCACUCCCCAAACCCUACCGAAAACAACUCUACAGGAGCAAAAAGAAUUACGAAUCCACAAGGCCUAUGGGAGUAGGGGAGGCGGCGGCCGAUGAAGGAUGGCAGUACAGGUUUGGAAGGCGGAAGCAGGGGAAGCAGUGCUGGGUCACAGUGCAGCGUGGGAAGGCUGAAGGCCUGCUGCCUGUAGAGAGGUUGGGGGUGAGAAGCAGGCCCACUGCUGGGAACAGGAGGGUGGGGCUGCAAACCGGAGCACUGGUGGAGGCUGCCUGGGAGGGGGCAGUGGGGCGCCACACCCCUGGGCCUGCAGGAGACUGGGGUGCUCACUGGGGAAUCUGCAUUAGCACAUCAGAGUCUGUGGAGAGUAGGCACGAGGUACAGACCUGAAAACAUGGGUAAUAACAGAAAUUUAGAUACUGAAGGGAAACUC
Manis pentadactyla (Chinese pangolin) is the source of this 4047-nucleotide long non-coding RNA. RefSeq lists it as uncharacterized. The transcript is spliced from 4 exons. Lineage: Eukaryota; Metazoa; Chordata; Mammalia; Pholidota; Manidae. The record is from RefSeq and is a predicted model, not a curated record.